Mus musculus (house mouse) is the source of this 925-nucleotide long non-coding RNA. RefSeq annotates it as predicted gene, 41019. The transcript has 3 exons. NCBI's taxonomy places the organism in Eukaryota, Metazoa, Chordata, Mammalia, Rodentia, Muridae. The record is from RefSeq and is a predicted model, not a curated record.
GCAGUGAUGUUUGGGUUACUAUUGUUCCUGCAGCUUUUCUGUUAUCAAUAGGCUGAUGAGACUUGUGGAAGCUGAGUCACUUGGAGCUAUGGUGUGGAUGCUGUGUUCAAUCAGGGUUCCUGUGUGGAAACUUAACCUCCAGAUAGUAACAGUAUCAACAGGGAAAAUCUCUGGGGGAUGAUUGGGCCAUGAGGAUUCCUCCUGAUCAAGAGCCAGGACACUUGUAACUGAAGACUAGGGGAACCUGUCUGGGGACUCAGCAAGAAGGUGCAAGAGAUCAAGCCCUCACCAGACAUGGAACUUGCUGCCAUCUUGAUCUUGCACUAGCUUGCCUCCAAAGCUUUAAGUCACCAACUUCUGUUGUUUAUACAGUACCCAGACUAAGAUAUUUUGUUAUAGCAGCAGGAACAGACUAAGAUAGAAGUCUCUUUGUCUAUCCCAUGGGAGUGGAAAGUGGAGCUCUGGAAGCAUUAAUAUAGGAAGAUUCAACCCCAGUCAGAAUGGAGGUCACUUUCUCUCCAGCUGCCUCCUAGGGCACCUUUGAUCUCAUAACCGAGAAGCCACCUCAGUAAACCUGACUGGCCUGAGAGUGACUGGAUCCUGCUCAGUGCAAAGGGGUACCAAUGGUUCCUCCUGGUCCCUACCUCACUCUAUGCAGGGAUGCUGGAAGAAUCUUUAGACUGGUUCUAAAGAACUUGGGAUUUCCUAGGCCCUGUUCUUCCCCCUUGCCCUACCAACUCACCCGACCAACCAGAAGGGAGUUUGGAGUACCCCAGCUCUUGAGAACAGUGACUCUGCCCACUGGAAGGCAGGAGGGACAGGAGGCUCACAGACCAGAGGUUAAGUUCAUCUCUGCAGUUCAAUGUGUGGGAUCCAACAUGCCUGCAGUCAUGAGCGCCCUUCUGCGAUAUCAGUCUUACCAGGG